This is a long non-coding RNA of Macaca fascicularis (crab-eating macaque), 1983 nucleotides long. NCBI's taxonomy places the organism in Eukaryota, Metazoa, Chordata, Mammalia, Primates, Cercopithecidae. The record is from Ensembl.
GUCCUAUGUCCUAGCAAGCCUGUUAAUAUUUUAUGACUACAGUUAACGGUAACUUACUGCAUAUUUUCUAAUAGGUAGAGGAGAGGAUUUUGAAUGUUCCCAACACAAAGAAAUGAUGUUUGAGGUGAUGGAUACGCUAUCUACCUUGAUGGAUCAUUAUACUUUGUAUAUAUAUGUCGAAAUAUCACACUAAAUCUCAUCUUGAAUUGUAGCUCCUAUAACUCCCAUGUCAUGGGAGGGACCUGGCGGGAGGUAACUGAAUCAUGGGGCAGAUCUUUCCUGUUCUGUUCUCUGGAUAGUGAAUACGUUUCCUGAGAUCUGAUGGUUUCAUAAAGGGGAGAUCCCUGCACAGACUUUCUUGCCUGCCGCCAUGUGAGACGUCCCUUUGCUUUUCCUAGGUCUUCAGCCAUGAUUGUGAGUCCAUUAAACCUUUUUCUUUAUAAAUUACCCAGCCUCGGGUAUGUCUUUAUUAGCAGCCUGAGAAUAGACUAAUAUGCUCUGGAAGAUAUUAUCUUACUCCAGACAUUAUUUUUAGAUCUUUGCCAAUUUGACCUGUGGCAAACGGCACUCCAGCACAGCUUUAAUUUCCACUGCUCUUGUCUGCCCAGGCUGGAGUGCAGUGGUGCAAUCAUAGGUCACUGCAGCCUCCAUCUCCCGGGUUCAAGGGAUUCUCUCACCCCAGCCUCCUGAGUAGCUGGGAUUACAGGUGGGUGCCACCAUGUCCAAACCACUUUUCUUUGGUGAUCUAGAUUUCAUUUGCAGAAUAUCUGUAUAUUAAGGAAUUUAGCCUUUAUGUGGGAUACAGCCAGGAAAACCUUUUUUCCCCAUUAGUCUUUUCACUUUGAUAUGCAUAAACUUUAAAGUCUCAGGUAGUCACCUUUGUCAAGUCCCAUUUUCUUUUACCUGGAAAAUAACCUAAUAGGAUUUUCUACUUCCAGCCUUCCUGCCACCUCCUCCAAAUCUUCUACCAACAGUGAUUCUUGGUGGUUGUAGUGACUCAUGCCUGUAAUCCCAGAACUUGGGGAGGCCAAGGUAGUUGGAGCCAGGAGUUGGAGCCCAGCCUGUGUAACAAGGCAAUACUCUGUCUCUACAAAAUUACCAAAAAAAAAAAAAAAAAAAAAAAGGUUAGCUUGGUGUGGUGGCACACUUCUGUAGUCCCAGCUACGUGGGAAGCUGAGGCGUGAGGAUCACUUGAGCACAAGAGUUCGAGGAUACAGUGAGCCAUUAUCACGCCACUGUCCUCCAGCAUGGGCGAAAUAAACCCGUUUUGUUUUUUUUUUAAAUAAGAACAGUGAUUCUUUUCAAGCAUAAUUCAGAUCCCAGUUCCUUCUCUGCUGACCGUCCCAGUAGUCUCCAUCCCACUCAGAGAACAGCCUCAAAAUCACUCCACCUCUCACAUUUAAACUUUCCCACGAGAUCACAGGGUUCUUUUUCACUGCACUGAGACUUCUUCCUGCCCCUGCCUCGGGCUUUGUCCUAGCCAUUCCUCUCCUGGAAUUCUCUUCCACUCUUCCUUUUGGUGCUUUAAGACGCCCCUUAUCCUAGAGACCUAUGUGAGCAGCGCCCCAACGUCACUCCCAGCUUUUUCCGACAGCAUUUCAGCAUUAACCACUGACCUUGGCGCAUCCGCAUCUGCGGAUUCAGCUGAGGAUUCCCCCACCACCAGCACAGGGUUCUCAGCUGCAGCCACGCCUGCCGGGCCUGCUGCAGGCGUUCAAAGAAUAUUAGACUCUUGUAUCCUAUUUAAAACCUUUUCCACUAAGAGAUUUAAAACACGUGUUUCCCUGCUUUCUACUUUCACGUUACAUUUCUUACGUGUAAACCUGGGAAGCCUCUAGAGAUAACCGCAGUUUCUGGAGAGGCUGGGAUAGACUUCGGAGCCCAGGCCGCCCGGGAACUGCCGUUCCCGGAUCCUCCCCACCCCGGCACGGAUCCCUCGGCAGAGAAGUUAACCUAGGCAGAAGCGAGAGAGGAUCAGCCCCU